This 560-nucleotide ribosomal RNA is filed under the name uncultured bacterium. RNAcentral describes it as "partial 16S ribosomal RNA". It matches the Rfam family "Bacterial small subunit ribosomal RNA", at positions 355 to 1375 of the family's 1533-position model. The record is from RNAcentral.
UGGGGAAUAUUGGACAAUGGGCGCAAGCCUGAUCCAGCAAUGCCGCGUGAGUGAUGAAGGCCUUAGGGUUGUAAAGCUCUUUCGCACGCGACGAUGAUGACGGUAGCGUGAGAAGAAGCCCCGGCUAACUUCGUGCCAGCAGCCGCGGUAAUACGAAGGGGGCUAGCGUUGUUCGGAAUUACUGGGCGUAAAGGGCGCGUAGGCGGCCUGUUUAGUCAGAAGUGAAAGCCCCGGGCUCAACCUGGGAAUAGCUUUUGAUACUGGCAGGCUUGAGUUCCGGAGAGGAUGGUGGAAUUCCCAGUGUAGAGGUGAAAUUCGUAGAUAUUGGGAAGAACACCGGUGGCGAAGGCGGCCAUCUGGACGGACACUGACGCUGAGGCGCGAAAGCGUGGGGAGCAAACAGGAUUAGAUACCCUGGUAGUCCGCGCCGUAAACGAUGAAUGCUAGACGUCGGGGUGCAUGCACUUCGGUGUCGCCGCUAACGCAUUAAGCAUUCCGCCUGGGGAGUACGGCCGCAAGGUUAAAACUCAAAGGAAUUGACGGGGUCAUAGCUGUUUCCU